RNAcentral lists this ribosomal RNA (192 nucleotides) under uncultured bacterium. Its description in RNAcentral is "partial 16S ribosomal RNA". It matches the Rfam family "Bacterial small subunit ribosomal RNA", at positions 1308 to 1500 of the family's 1533-position model. The record is from RNAcentral.
CAACUCGCCUGCAUGAAGUCGGAAUUGCUAGUAAUCGCGGAUCAGCAUGCCGCGGUGAAUACGUUCUCGGGCCUUGUACACACCGCCCGUCACACCAUGAGAGUUGGGAAUACCCGAAGCCUGUGAGCUAACUUUUAGAGGCAGCAGUCGAAGGUAGAAUCAAUGAUUGGGGUGAAGUCGUAACAAGGUACC